This 374-nucleotide ribosomal RNA is filed under the name uncultured organism. RNAcentral's name for it is "partial 16S ribosomal RNA". It matches the Rfam family "Bacterial small subunit ribosomal RNA", at positions 527 to 896 of the family's 1533-position model. The record is from RNAcentral.
GUAGGUGGCAAGCGUUGUCCGGAAUUAUUGGGCGUAAAGCGCGCGCAGGUGGUUCUUUAAGUCUGAUGUGAAAGCCCCCGGCUCAACCGGGGAGGGUCACUGGAAACUGGGGAACUUGAGUGCAGGAGAGGAAAGUGGAAUUCCACGUGUAGCGGUGAAAUGCGUAGAUAUGUGGAGGAACACCAGUGGCGAAGGCGACUUUCUGGCCUGUAACUGACACUGAGGCGCGAAAGCGUGGGGAGCAAACAGGGAUUAGAUACCCUGGUAGUCCACGCCGUAAACGAUGAGUGCUAAGUGUUGGGGGGGUUUCCCGCCCCUCAGUGCUGCAGCUAACGCAUUAAGCACUCCGCCUGGGGAGUACGGUCGCAAGACUG